Molecule: ribosomal RNA, 253 nt
Filed under: uncultured prokaryote
Description: partial 16S ribosomal RNA
Rfam family: Bacterial small subunit ribosomal RNA
Source: RNAcentral
UACGGGGGGGGCAAGCGUUGUUCGGAAUUACUGGGCGUAAAGGGUUCGUAGGUGGCGCACUAAGUCAGACGUGAAAUCCCUCAGCUUAACUGGGGAACUGCGUCUGAGACUGGUGGGCUUGAGUGCAGGAGAGGAACGCGGAAUUCCAGGUGUAGCGGUGAAAUUCGUAGAUAUUCGCAAGAACACCAGUGGCGAAGGCGGCUCACUGGCCCGGUACUGACGCUGAGGUGCGAAAGCGUGGGGAGCAAACAGG